Molecule: ribosomal RNA, 303 nt
Filed under: Staphylococcus aureus
Lineage: Bacteria; Bacillati; Bacillota; Bacilli; Caryophanales; Staphylococcaceae
Description: partial 23S ribosomal RNA
Rfam family: Bacterial large subunit ribosomal RNA
Source: RNAcentral
UUGUCUCUCUUGAGUGGAUCCUGAGUACGACGGAGCACGUGAAAUUCCGUCGGAAUCUGGGAGGACCAUCUCCUAAGGCUAAAUACUCUCUAGUGACCGAUAGUGAACCAGUACCGUGAGGGAAAGGUGAAAAGCACCCCGGAAGGGGAGUGAAAUAGAACCUGAAACCGUGUGCUUACAAGUAGUCAGAGCCCGUUAAUGGGUGAUGGCGUGCCUUUUGUAGAAUGAACCGGCGAGUUACGAUUUGAUGCAAGGUUAAGCAGUAAAUGUGGAGCCGUAGCGAAAGCGAGUCUGAAUAGGGCG